RNAcentral lists this ribosomal RNA (497 nucleotides) under uncultured bacterium. Its description in RNAcentral is "partial 16S ribosomal RNA". It matches the Rfam family "Bacterial small subunit ribosomal RNA", at positions 899 to 1397 of the family's 1533-position model. The record is from RNAcentral.
ACUCAAAGGAAUAGACGGGGGCCCGCACAAGCGGCGGAGCAUGUGGAUUAAUUCGAUGCAACGCGAAGAACCUUACCUGGGCUUGACAUGCACCGGAAACCUGCAGAGAUGUAGGCCUCUUCGGACUGGUGUACAGGUGGUGCAUGGCUGUCGUCAGCUCGUGUCGUGAGAUGUUGGGUUAAGUCCCGCAACGAGCGCAACCCUCGUUCCAUGUUGCCAGCGCGUUAUGGCGGGGACUCAUGGGAGACUGCCGGGGUCAACUCGGAGGAAGGUGGGGAUGACGUCAAGUCAUCAUGCCCCUUAUGUCCAGGGCUUCACACAUGCUACAAUGGCCGGUACAGAGGGCUGCUAAGCCGUGAGGUGGAGCGAAUCCCACAAAGCCGGUCUCAGUUCGGAUCGGGGUCUGCAACUCGACCCCGUGAAGUCGGAGUCGCUAGUAAUCGCAGAUCAGCAACGCUGCGGUGAAUACGUUCCCGGGCCUUGCACACACCGCCCGU